Molecule: ribosomal RNA, 534 nt
Filed under: uncultured bacterium PHOS-HD11
Lineage: Bacteria; Pseudomonadati; Verrucomicrobiota
Description: bacterial SSU rRNA
Rfam family: Bacterial small subunit ribosomal RNA
Source: RNAcentral
GGCGAACGGGUGCGUAACACGUGGACAACAUUCCGGGAAGCGGGGGAUAGCCCAGGGAAACUUGGAUUAAUACCGCAUGUGGACGAGUGAGGCAUCUCACGAAGUCUAAAGGUGGGGACCGCAAGGCCUGCCACUUCCCGAUUGGUCCGCGGCCUAUCAGCUAGUUGGUGAGGUAAAGGCUCACCAAGGCUACGACGGGUAGCUGGUCUUAGAGGACGACCAGCCACACUGGGACUGAGACACGGCCCAGACACCUACGGGUGGCAGCAGUCGAGAAUCUUUCACAAUGGGGGAAACCCUGAUGGAGCGACGCCGCGUGGAGGAUAAGGUCUUCGGAUUGUAAACUCCUGUCAUGCGAGAGCAAGAUUGGUCAUUUAAUAGGUGAUUAAUUUGAUAGUAUCGCAAGAGGAAGAGACGGCUAACUCUGUGCCAGCAGCCGCGGUAAUACAGAGGUCUCAAGCGUUGUUCGGAAUCACUGGGCGUAAAGGGUGCGUAGGUGGCGUGGUAAGUCAGAUGUGAAAGCCCAGGCUCAAC